Molecule: long non-coding RNA, 1378 nt
Filed under: Gopherus agassizii (Agassiz's desert tortoise)
Lineage: Eukaryota; Metazoa; Chordata; Testudines; Testudinidae
Description: lncRNA (ENSGAGG00000010372.1)
Source: RNAcentral
GUGUGAUUAAUUUUUUUCAAAAGGAAUAAAAGAGUGUUAAAUGCACCAAAUACUUUCCUAAUGUCAUUUUUCUAUGUUAAGCAACUACUGUAGUCUUUUUGUACAGAGAUGUUGCACUUUCAUAAACUGGAAGAAAGAUGUCCAUGAGAGAAGUUCCUAUGUACAAAAAAUCUGGAGAAUCCCCUGCCGUGCAGAGUGUAGUAUAUUUCAGGAAGUGAACAGUGAACUCUAAUAUGUGCAUUCCGUUUACUGUGUUGAUAAAGCACCGAAUGGAACUUGGCCUAUCUUCCAUGGAAAGUCUGGCAUUGCUUCACAGAGAUCUCAGGAGGAUGGUUUUAAAGUUCCUUUUGAGGAAUUUAAAAAAAGCCUACUUUUUGCUUCAAAUGGGAAAAUUCUCCACAUUUGUACCACUUUCAGAGAAGGAAUGUAAUGUGCCACUGUCACACAUAAUAGGAGUAUUCUAAAAUGAGGUCAAGAGAACAAGUUACAGGAGUUGGUGACUGGAUGUGCAGACAAAGUAUUGUGCUUUUGGUCCAUAGUGUACCUUUUGAUGCUCAAGAUGACAAGAAAAUACAGCACCAUAUUGCAGACACUCUAACCAACAGUCACCUGGGAUGGACACCCUUUACCUUGGAUUCCCUAAACCACAAUCCCUUCCUGUCACAACUUUUAAAAGCCACAGCAGCGUACUACUUUCAUGACAAAGAGCGACACAGGCAGACUGACAGCAGGAGUGAUGGAGUUUCUCGUGUUGUAGCAGAACAGAAUUGGAGCACUAAAAAAGUGUUAUAAAAAUGUAUAUUUAGGGGAAAAAAGCAGCACAGUCACAACAGGAAAUCUCUUGGCUCAGGUGAGGGGACAAUGGUGUCUUCACCAAAACUGGUCCAUUUGAUUAUUUUACCUUAUCAGCUUUAUGUGGAAUAGUAGUGAAGUGGCCAUGUCUAGACUAAGAAAAAAGGUCAUGCUUAAAAAACAUUAGCCAACAUGUUUUACCUACACUCUUUUUAACAGUAGUGUAGACUGGCUUUAACAUCUUAAUUCUGCAUCAGUAUUGUGGGAUGGACUGGGUGACUUCUUGAGAUCCCUUCCAGCCCUAUGUUUCUAUGAAUGUUAGUUUCUCGUGGUCAACUUUAGGCUCCUUUCACGGGUCAACCCACUAACACUUGACUGUAAAUCAUCACUCACCUACAAACCUUGCUGAUACACCCAUAACACCUUCUUGACAUGUAUCUCUUCUUCUGUUUGAAGAGCACACUCGAUACAGUUCAAGGUUAAGAGCUAAGUUGUGAGUCAGAACCACUGCAUAUUGUGAUCUUCUUUGGAUAUCUUUUGUUCCCAUUUUAUUUUCUGUCUCUCUUCCUUGCCAAAUUUAUUUUUG